Molecule: long non-coding RNA, 2628 nt
Organism: Corvus hawaiiensis (hawaiian crow)
Lineage: Eukaryota; Metazoa; Chordata; Aves; Passeriformes; Corvidae
Exons: 2
Source: RefSeq, a predicted model, not a curated record
GGAGGAGGAGGAGGAGGAGGAGGAGGAGGGAGAGGCGCAGGAGCGGCGCUCCAGCGAUUGCAGGCGCUGGCAGGGGCUGUUGGUGCUGCUGCCGUGUGCAUAUGAGAAGUCGCUCUGUGCAGUGGUUUUAUUGACGGUAAAUCCCCCGGCAGCGCGGGCUGGGCAGGGAAGGAGGAGGUCUCAGGCUGGAGCAGGUGAGCACGUGGACGUUCUUGGGAGUCCUUGACUUCCAGUGCACAAGAAACCCCAGCGAAGAGGCUCUGCUGCAUCCCCUGGAUGGAGAACGUUUCCUGGGGGUCUCGUGGAGCUGUCGGGACCCCAGACACCGCAGGACCCUUUUCUACAGGAGCCAGGGAGGAGGAGAGCGGCCAGAGGAAACUUCCUUACCGCUGGCCCUCGGCCAGGGAGAAUGCAGCUGCAUCCUUGGAAUCGAGUGGAGCGUGGGGACUGGGAGCGUUUCCGUGUUAUUUUUUGGGGAAGCCACGUGAGGGUUGUGUUAAUUCCUGCUGGGAGAGACAGCGGAACCAGCCGAGGGCUGUGGGAUGGGUGAGGAGGUAACAGCCCCAGGUGAUAACUGCAAGACACGAAGCCUUAAAGGGGUGGGUUAGUGAGGAGUGGCGGGAUGUGAGUGUCUGUGGCGGAGUCCUCCUGUUAUAAACGGGUGCUCAGAGCAUGGAUUCAGUAGCCCGGGCUCCCCUCAGCGUGCCCUCAGAUCUAAUUAGCGUGAAAAAAGUAAUUAAGGGAAGGUGCUGCAGAGCUGAGUCUCCCAGCGCAGGCUCCGGCAGACAGGCAGGAACCCUGACGUGUCUUGGGAACACCUCGGGAGCUUGGGCCAAGGGAUAACGCAGGGCCUGGGGCUCUUUCCUCACCUUCCCAGCAGUGCUUGUCCCUGCUCCACCACACACAUCCCAGUUACGGAAACCAGCUCCCGUCCUGCUUCUUGGAAGAGCAUCCCCAGGGUGAGGAUGGAUAAGUGAUGCUUUUCCAUGCUUUUUUGGGGUUGUGCCCUGCUAUUGCUCCCUGCAUGGAAGCAGCCCUGGCUUGCAAAUUGCUUCUUUAUCUGCACCCGCUGCUGUCCAGGAGGCAAAUUAAUUAAUAAUGGUCAAUUAGUCCUGUGGGUGCUGGAGGUGCUCGGCACCGCUGUAUUCCUUCCUGGAGCGUGAGGCGCUGGGGCUGCCUGGCCCUGCAGUCCGGGACUGUAUUUGUAUAUUUGAGAGAUUUAAUUCAGAAGCCACCAUUGGCGUGUGGCAAAGCUGCUGGGGCUGCAGAGGCAGUGCUCAGGCCUUCACCCCAUCCAGGACAAAAAUUCCAAAGGAGAGGGGGGAAGAAUUCCAUCCCCCCUCAAACCUGGACUGAGUGAUGUGUGAAAUAUCUUCACAGCCGAUCCCCACUAAUGGGUUGCAAAUUGCUUCCAUCAGCUCCAGCAUUACAGAUUGCCGUCUGAAAUUGCUUCCAGGAGCCCAUUUUGGGGCCAAAUACUUCCUAGCUUGGGGAAAUAACCAUCAGCAGCAUUAGUGACAGUAAAUUGUAUUCAAAUGAGGCACCGUGGGGCCUUAUUAGGACUUCUCACAUGUGCCUUUCUCGCUGGUGGGGCAGCUCCGGCAUUAGGGAAUCUUGCAUCCACACAGAAUCCUUCAAGUUGGAAAAGACUUCCAAGAUCAUCCUUCAGCUGCUGCCCCAGCACUGCCAAGGCCAUGACUAAGCCACGUCCUCAAGUACCACAUCUACAUGUCUUCUAAAUCCCCCCAGGACUGGUGCCUCCACCACUGCCUGCGACAGCCUAUGCCAGGGCUUGGCAACAUUUUCCAUGGAGAAAUUUUUCCUGUUUUCCAGCUCCAGGUGUUGGGUACCUGGAGAACAACUGGUCUUGCCAUUAAAGACUGGGACAAGGAAGGCUUCUGCCAGUCCCUGUUGACCAUUCCCAUUGCUUUGUGCUGCUCCUCGAGGCAUCGCCUCGCUCCAGCUCUGAACCAAGAGCAGCUCCGUUGCCUCCACAGAGAUCCUGGUAGAGGUCCAGGGUUUCCUAAUUCAUGAGCACAUCGUUAAUUAUCUGCUGGAAGCCAAAGCCUCAGCAUCUUGGUGAGACUAACGAGGCUAUUAACAGAGCUGCUUCUUGCCAUGCUGGCUUGGGCUGGCCCGGAUCGUGGUGCUGUCCCGGGCGGGUGAGCAAAGGCAGAGACAAGCUUUGCGUCGCAUCCUCUGGCACUUAUUUACCUUCUAAACCACAUCUGACCAUUGCUGAGACCUUUCCAAAGGAAACCACGGCAUCUAAAUGCCGAGAACAGAGAACCCAGCACGGGCAGCUUGGUGAAUCCGUGGGAUUUCUAAAUCGAGCACAUCUCCAGCGUCCACAUAGUGGUAGCUGGGGAAGGGUCACGGCCAGCCUGGGUGGAGGGUUGAGCUGCAAUGCCCGGAGCUGCUACUCGCAGGAGGUCCCCACGGGGUUAUCCUGAGUGAAAACACCGCUGCUUAAACCCAGCAGUGGCUGCUCCGAGCCGCUGGGUCAGCGGGCCCCGUGAGCGGUGUCUCCGUGUGAUUUAUGCUGUGUUGUGCCAUGCUCUUGCUUGCACCCGCUUGGCUCUCCCGGCGUGAGGAGCAGCCAGUCCAUUAAACACUGAGUCAUCCUCA